RNAcentral lists this long non-coding RNA (1280 nucleotides) under Danio rerio (zebrafish). Its description in RNAcentral is "si:dkeyp-117h8.11 (ENSDARG00000097729.2)". The record is from RNAcentral. Lineage: Eukaryota; Metazoa; Chordata; Actinopteri; Cypriniformes; Danionidae.
GAAGAGUUUCUCCACCAGUGGCAGACUCUCGAUGGCCAGCGGCUGCCUGUAGCCCAGCUGAUCCAAGCGCUUCCGCAGAUUGAUGAACUUCCGCUCUGCGUUGGUCGUCAUGGUCAUUCAACACAAAUACGCGCUCCGCUCUACAAGCAAAGUGAUUCACAUGUCAACAACAGAUUUAACAAAGACCUUUUACAUCUUCUUAUCUUAUACUUUCAUCGUUUGCCGUGUAUUGAAACCUAUGCGCUGCCAAAUCAGACAGCACUUUUGGACGCAUUGGCAACAUUCUAUUUCCUCCCCUCCCCGCGGUGAAUGGUCUUCCGGUGGCGGUAACACUGCUUGAAAAUGGCGCCGAGGAGAAAGGAAAGACCACAGUCCUGCUCAAGUGCCGUCAAACUGGAACCUGAGAAACAGCGACAUUUAGUGGACGUUGAGUAGUAAACGGUAUAAAAAAAGUGAUCACAACUGCUUUUACUCAUGUAAAUUCAGUGCAAUUAUAAUUGAACAUGUAAAGUCAGACCUUUCCCCAUGGGAACAGUGUAUUGAACCUUUAGACAAAAACUCAAUCCUCUUAUGUGCUUUGCAUCAUUUUUAAUAAAUCAGGUGCUUUGCCCAUUUAGCACGAUUGCCUAUUUUUUAGCAAACUAUUGGAGGAAAAACACACAUUUUAUUUAGGAGCACAAACUGAACAAAUAUAACGUUAUACUUUCAUGCAUUUGUUUAUCAUACAUGUUUAUGUUUACAGAUUACAUAAAUAAUUGCAUAUAAAUAUCUGUUACAAUCACUCUAUCAUCUUCCAACAAUAUUAUCAAUACAUAAUAUAUGAUGAGGCUACAUGGUGGCUCAGUAGUUAGCACUGUCGCCUUAUAGCCAGAAAGUUGCUAGUUCGAGUCCCGACUGGGUCAGUUGGCAACUCUGUGUGGAGUUUGCAUGUUCUCCCCAUGUUAGCUUAGGUUUCCUCCUGGUGCUCCGGUUUUCCCCACAGUCCAAAUAGACAAUUUUGAGGAAUGUAAACAAAAACAAUGGCCCCAAUUUAUUUCCUGUUUUACAUUUUUAAUUUAUAGAGCUUCCGAGAACCCAAAAAGAGCCACAUAUUGAUAAAUUAUGUUAUGAUAGCUGUUUUAACAUUACAUUAUGAUUAAAUUGCCUUUUACAGUUCGGAAAUAAUUUGCUAACCAGCAGGAAAAUUUCAUGGGCCAAAGACAUCACUACAUUGAAAUGGUCUAUAGAUGAAUUGAAUGAACUAAAUUUGCCAAAUAGCGUAUGAGUGUGAAUAAAUGUGA